Molecule: non-coding RNA, 22 nt
Filed under: Arabidopsis thaliana (thale cress)
Lineage: Eukaryota; Viridiplantae; Streptophyta; Magnoliopsida; Brassicales; Brassicaceae
Source: RNAcentral
GGGUGGAGUGGUGAUAUCCUAA